Molecule: ribosomal RNA, 519 nt
Filed under: Triticum aestivum (bread wheat)
Lineage: Eukaryota; Viridiplantae; Streptophyta; Magnoliopsida; Poales; Poaceae
Description: partial small subunit ribosomal RNA
Source: RNAcentral
AUGCAACCAACCCAAGUGUACAUGCCACCUCCAACCCCUGAUUCGGGUCCUCUCCACCUCCUCGAGCUCCAUGUCGAAUCAACAGGAGUCGCCGCAAAAGUACUGUGGCGUGCGGCAACAGCCGUGGGGCUCUUGGGAGCCGGAGGUCCAAAUCCGGGCAUGCGGGAGAAGAAGUGGCUCAGCACAUUCACCACCACGGAGGAGGCGGGACGCGCGUACGAUGUGGUAGUAGUCCACUACUUCAGAAGUAAGGCGAAGCUUAACUUCCCCAUUGUCUCUCAUGAUGCAGACUUCAUCAUGUCCCCUUUUAUAGUGGCCUCCCAUGACGAGGAUAAGGAGCAUCACAAGGAUGAGAACCAGCUGGCAACCGAGCGCGCAGAUGCAGCCUACAUGGUCGAGCUCAUGACAAAGAACCUACGGCUCCUCGGGGAGAUCCAAACGUGGUUCGAGUCCAAGGAUAAUGACAACAUGUUCAUCGAGCUCUUUCUGAGCUAUCCGAUGAGGAGGAGAUGUCGUUGA